Molecule: ribosomal RNA, 265 nt
Filed under: uncultured archaeon
Lineage: Archaea
Description: partial 16S ribosomal RNA
Rfam family: Archaeal small subunit ribosomal RNA
Source: RNAcentral
AGUCACUGACAUUAGAUACCCCCGUAGUCCUAGCCGUAAACGAUACUCGCUAGGUGUCGGCCACGGUGCGACCGUUGUCGGUGCCGUAGGGAAGCCGUGAAGCGAGCCACCUGGGAAGUACGGCCGCAAGGCUGAAACUUAAAGGAAUUGACGGGGGAGCACCGCAACGGGAGGAGCGUGCGGUUCAAUUGGAUUCAACGCCGGACAACUCACCAGGAGCGACGGUUACAUGAAGGCCAGGCUGAUGACCUUGCCUGAUUUUCCG